Molecule: ribosomal RNA, 542 nt
Filed under: Peziza stuntzii
Lineage: Eukaryota; Fungi; Ascomycota; Pezizomycetes; Pezizales; Pezizaceae
Description: partial large subunit ribosomal RNA
Rfam family: Eukaryotic large subunit ribosomal RNA
Source: RNAcentral
GGCGAAGUGAAAUGCGGGCCAAAAAGCCUCAGGAUUUGGAAAUUCUGGCGUCAUUCUCUGGCGUCCGAGUUGUAGUCUGUAGAGGUGUAUUCGAGUAUGGCUUUGGCUUAAGUUCCUUGGAACAGGACGUCAUAGAGGGUGAGAGCCCCGUUAGCGGCCUUUGUCUUAUGCUCAUGUGAAUCUCCUUCAAUGAGUCGAGUUGUUUGGGAAUGCAGCUCUAAAUGGGUGGUAAAUUCCAUCUAAAGCUAAAUACUGGCAAGAGACCGAUAGCGCACAAGUAGAGUGAUCGAAAGAUGAAAAGAACUCUGAACAGAGAGUUAAAUAGUACGUGAAAUUGUUGAAAGGGAAGCACUUGCGACCAGACACACUUGCAGUUGAUCAAUUCUCAUUUUUGAGGAUGCACUCGGCUGUCUGUGGGUCACCAUCAGUUAUGGCGGUGGGAAAAAGACCAAGGGAAUGUAGCUCCUUUCGGGGAGUGUUAUAGCCUGUAGUGCAAUGCUGCCUGCUGUGACUGAGGACCGCGCGAGGCGAGGAUGCCGGCA